Molecule: ribosomal RNA, 253 nt
Filed under: uncultured bacterium
Lineage: Bacteria
Description: partial 16S ribosomal RNA
Rfam family: Bacterial small subunit ribosomal RNA
Source: RNAcentral
UACGUAGGGUGCAAGCGUUAAUCGGAAUUACUGGGCGUAAAGCGUGCGCAGGCGGUCCGCUAAGACCGAUGUGAAAUCCCCGGGCUUAACCUGGGAACUGCAUUGGUGACUGGCGGGCUGGAGUAUGGCAGAGGGGGGUAGAAUUCCACGUGUAGCAGUGAAAUGCGUAGAGAUGUGGAGGAACACCGAUGGCGAAGGCAGCCCCCUGGGUCAACACUGACGCUCAUGCACGAAAGCGUGGGGAGCAAACAGG